GAGUUUGAUCCUGGCUCAGGAUGAACGCUGGCGGCGUGCUUAACACAUGCAAGUCGAACGGACUCAUAUUGAAACCUAGUGAUGUAUGAGUUAGUGGCGGACGGGUGAGUAACGCGUGGAGAACCUGCCGUAUACUGGGGGAUAACACUUAGAAAUAGGUGCUAAUACCGCAUAAGCGCACAGCUUCGCAUGAAGCAGUGUGAAAAACUCUGGUGGUAUACGAUGGAUCCGCGUCUGAUUAGCUAGUUGGCGGGGUAAAGGCCCACCAAGGCGACGAUCAGUAGCCGGCCUGAGAGGGUGAACGGCCACAUUGGGACUGAGACACGGCCCAAACUCCUACGGGAGGCAGCAGUGGGGAAUAUUGCACAAUGGGGGAAACCCUGAUGCAGCGACGCCGCGUGAGUGAAGAAGUAUUUCGGUACGUAAAGCUCUAUCAGCAGGGAAGAAAAUGACGGUACCUGACUAAGAAGCCCCGGCUAACUACGUGCCAGCAGCCGCGGUAAUACGUAGGGGGCAAGCGUUAUCCGGAUUUACUGGGUGUAAAGGGAGCGUAGACGGCAGCGCAAGUCUGGAGUGAAAUCCCAUGGCUUAACCAUGGAACUGCUUUGGAAACUGUGCAGCUAGAGUGCAGGAGAGGUAGGCGGAAUUCCUAGUGUAGCGGUGAAAUGCGUAGAUAUUAGGAGGAACACCAGUGGCGAAGGCGGCUUACUGGACUGUAACUGACGUUGAGGCUCGAAAGCGUGGGGAGCAAACAGGAUUAGAUACCCUGGUAGUCCACGCUGUAAACGAUGAUUACUAGGUGUUGGGGGACCAAGNNNNNNNNN
This 824-nucleotide non-coding RNA is filed under the name Lachnospiraceae bacterium A4. Its description in RNAcentral is "Bacterial small subunit ribosomal RNA". It matches the Rfam family "Bacterial small subunit ribosomal RNA", at positions 9 to 844 of the family's 1533-position model. The record is from Rfam by way of RNAcentral. Lineage: Bacteria; Bacillati; Bacillota; Clostridia; Lachnospirales; Lachnospiraceae.